AUCCUCCAAUUUUCUGACCUAUUAAUCUAAAUAUUUGUCUGAGCGGUUACAAAAGGAGGAAAAGUAAAAUUGAAACUGACUUCAAUUUUUGUGACACAUGGGCUAGUUUCAAACAAUA
Molecule: small nucleolar RNA, 118 nt
Filed under: Echinops telfairi (small Madagascar hedgehog)
Lineage: Eukaryota; Metazoa; Chordata; Mammalia; Afrosoricida; Tenrecidae
Description: Small nucleolar RNA SNORA61 (ENSETEG00000024601.1)
Source: RNAcentral